CUCCCUGGGAACCAGCUAUACUCUGCACUUGUUAUCUUCUUUGCAUUCCUGCUGACAUCCUGGAAAGGGAUGAGAGAGAGGUGGAGAGAGAAGAAAUGGAAAUUCAAAAGUUUUGACGGCAGAGGAAAAUUGUGCUUAUUUCCAGAAUGAGACGAACAAGGUCCUGGGUCCCUACAUGUCAUACUGGCUAGAGACUGAAGUCUUUGAAAGCCUUGGAGAUAACCAGAAAAUGAAGGAAGCCCUCCACCACUGAGUUUCAGGGCAAAGGGAAGAAACAAGAUAAAGUAGAACCGUCAGUACAAGUGGAAUUAUUAAUGACGUCCAAAUGCAGUCAUUAAAUACUAUCAGACUUAUUUAUUGACUCCUGAUAUUAAGAGUGAACAAACCCCUGGCCAAGUGGGAACUUGCUCGGUAGCCUUUAUCUUUCUAUCACUCAUUCAGUCAAUUCAUUAAAGCCUGUUUGUCUCUCCCA
Molecule: long non-coding RNA, 472 nt
Filed under: Homo sapiens (human)
Lineage: Eukaryota; Metazoa; Chordata; Mammalia; Primates; Hominidae
Description: novel transcript
Source: RNAcentral